Molecule: long non-coding RNA, 335 nt
Organism: Carassius gibelio (silver crucian carp)
Lineage: Eukaryota; Metazoa; Chordata; Actinopteri; Cypriniformes; Cyprinidae
Exons: 3
Source: RefSeq, a predicted model, not a curated record
GAGGAAGAGGGUGGUGUCUUUCCUCUAGCAUCUGCUGCAGACCUAGAUAGGCUGGAACAAAGACUGGCAGAGAAUGGGAAGAUCACUGAAACGGUCAAAUCUACAACUACUAACAAAAUGACAUUCUGCAAAAUAUGGGAGCUACACUAUGAUGAACUUGCAGACCAACAACAUAACAGACAUACAGCUGGUGCAGAGCAAUGAGGAAGGGGGAAGCUACCACGUGGAGAAGGAGGGCCUUAGAAGAAGCUUGGACCUCCUGGAGGAAAGCGGUGUAAAGUUGGACUGUGUUGUUACUGACCGUCACCCCCAGAUAAAAAAAAAAGUUUUUAAAG